UACGUAGGGUCCGAGCGUUGUCCGGAAUUAUUGGGCGUAAAGAGCUCGUAGGCGGUGUGUCACGUCGGCCGUGAAAACCUGCAGCUUAACUGUGGGCGUGCGGUCGAUACGGGCAUCACUGGAGUUCGGCAGGGGAGACUGGAAUUCCUGGUGUAGCGGUGAAAUGCGCAGAUAUCAGGAGGAACACCGGUGGCGAAGGCGGUUCUCUGGGCAUUACCUGACGCUGAGGAGCGAAAGUGUGGGGAGCGAACAGG
This 254-nucleotide ribosomal RNA is filed under the name uncultured bacterium. RNAcentral describes it as "partial 16S ribosomal RNA". It matches the Rfam family "Bacterial small subunit ribosomal RNA", at positions 524 to 776 of the family's 1533-position model. The record is from RNAcentral.